UUGAAGUUUAACUUUUUGUGUUUUAGAUGUCAAAGAGGAGCUUGAAACGGUGACAAAAUACUAUCAAGAACUGAAGACAAUCACACAUGAAGGAACAUCAACAGUCAGUGCUGAUCAACCCGGCCCGUCAUCUGCACAGGUUUACCUGAUGCAGAGAAACAGCUGAGGCCUGUUUAACCACUGAGGAUCCCACAGGGAACAUUGAAAAGUCAAACGAGGCUUCUGGAUUUGGUCUCAACCUUUUUUUCACGUUGUUAUUUCUGCUCUCUUUUAAGAGGUUUGCUGACAUGUUUGAUGUGCGUUU
Molecule: non-coding RNA, 304 nt
Organism: Labrus bergylta (ballan wrasse)
Lineage: Eukaryota; Metazoa; Chordata; Actinopteri; Labriformes; Labridae
Source: RefSeq, a predicted model, not a curated record